UAUAAUGGGUCAGCGACUUAUAUUCUGUAGCAAGGUUAACCGUAUAGGGGAGCCGCAGGGAAACCGAGUCUUAACUGGGCGUUAAGUUGCAGGGUAUAGACCCGAAACCCGGUGAUCUAGCCAUGGGCAGGUUGAAGGUUGGGUAACACUAACUGGAGGACCGAACCGACUAAUGUUGAAAAAUUAGCGGAUGACUUGUGGCUGGGGGUGAAAGGCCAAUCAAACCGGGAGAUAGCUGGUUCUCCCCGAAAGCUAUUUAGGUAGCGCCUCGUGAACUCAUCUUCGGGGGUAGAGCACUGUUUCGGCUAGGGGGUCAUCCCGACUUACCAACCCGAUGCAAACUACGAAUACCGAAGAAUGUUAUCACGGGAGACACACGGCGGGUGCUAACGUCCGUCGUGAAGAGGGAAACAACCCAGACCGCCAGCUAAGGUCCCAAAGUCAUGGUUAAGUGGGAAACGAUGUGGGAAGGCACAGACAGCCAGGAUGUUGGCUUAGAAGCAGCCAUCAUUUAAAGAAAGCGUAAUAGCUCACUGGUCGAGUCGGCCUGCGCGGAAGAUGUAACGGGGCUAAACCAUGCACCGAAGCUGCGGCAGCGACACUAUGUGUUGUUGGGUAGGGGAGCG
Molecule: ribosomal RNA, 626 nt
Filed under: Klebsiella pneumoniae
Lineage: Bacteria; Pseudomonadati; Pseudomonadota; Gammaproteobacteria; Enterobacterales; Enterobacteriaceae
Also listed under: 6 other names
Description: partial 23S ribosomal RNA
Rfam family: Bacterial large subunit ribosomal RNA
Source: RNAcentral